AAUAUUGCACAAUGGGGGAAACCCUGAUGCAGCGACGCCGCGUGAGUGAAGAAGUAUUUCGGUAUGUAAAGCUCUACCAGCAGGGACGAUAAUGACGGUACCUGACUAAGAAGCUCCGGCUAACUACGUUCCAGCAGCCGCGGUAAUACGCAGGGGGCAAGCGUUAUCCGGAUUUACUGGGUGUAAAGGGCGCGUAGAAGGUAGGGUAAGUCAGAUGUGAAAGCCCGGGGCUCAACCCCGGGAUUGCAUUUGAAACUAUCCGACUAGAGUGCAGGAGAGGUAAGUGGAAUUCCUAGUGUAGCGGUGAAAUGCGUAGAGAUUAGGAGGAACACCAGUGGCGAAGGCGGCUUACUGGACUGUAACUGACGUUGAGGCUCGAAAGCGUGGGGAGCAAAC
RNAcentral lists this ribosomal RNA (396 nucleotides) under uncultured bacterium. RNAcentral describes it as "partial 16S ribosomal RNA". It matches the Rfam family "Bacterial small subunit ribosomal RNA", at positions 360 to 773 of the family's 1533-position model. The record is from RNAcentral.